UAAAAAUUCACUUUGGGAAAGGUUGCCUA
Molecule: non-coding RNA, 29 nt
Filed under: Mus musculus (house mouse)
Lineage: Eukaryota; Metazoa; Chordata; Mammalia; Rodentia; Muridae
Source: RNAcentral